RNAcentral lists this ribosomal RNA (253 nucleotides) under uncultured bacterium. RNAcentral describes it as "partial 16S ribosomal RNA". It matches the Rfam family "Bacterial small subunit ribosomal RNA", at positions 524 to 776 of the family's 1533-position model. The record is from RNAcentral.
UACGGGGGGGGCAAGCGUUGUUCGGAAUUACUGGGCGUAAAGGGUUUGUAGGUGGCCAACUAAGUCAGACGUGAAAUCCCUCAGCUUAACUGGGGAACUGCGUCUGAGACUGGAUGGCUUGAGUACAGAAGAGGAAAGCGGAAUUCCACGUGUAGCGGUGAAAUGCGUAGAGAUGUGGAGGAACACCAGUGGCGAAGGCGGCUUUCUGGUCUGUAACUGACGCUGAGGCGCGAAAGCGUGGGGAGCAAACAGG